Molecule: long non-coding RNA, 227 nt
Filed under: Gossypium barbadense (sea-island cotton)
Lineage: Eukaryota; Viridiplantae; Streptophyta; Magnoliopsida; Malvales; Malvaceae
Description: long non-coding RNA (GBAR_LNC014019)
Source: RNAcentral
AACUCCUCCGGGAGAAGUCUUCGAAAUGUUAUUCUCGAAAAGCCGACCUGAUUCCUUAACAAUGAAAGGUAUUGUCCCUCGAGGGAGGGUUUUGCCCCCAUUUACAGAGAGUUGUGUACAGCUCACGGAGAAGGCGCCUCGACCGCAUAUCCACAUUCAACCACCCACCAAAAGGCAACAUGAGCGUCUCUCGCCCUUUGUGGGAUUUGAACACUAAGGGGGGCAAA